GACGAACCUUGCUAACGUUAUUCGGAAUUACUGGGCUUAAAGGGCGCGUAGGCGGCCAGCACAAGUCAGUUGUGAAAUCUCCGGGCUUAACUCGGAAAGGUCAACUGAUACUGUGCGGCUAGAGUGCAGAAGGGGCAACUGGAAUUCUCGGUGUAGCGGUGAAAUGCGUAGAUAUCGAGAGGAACACCUGCGGCGAAGGCGGGUUGCUGGGCUGACACUGACGCUGAGGCGCGAAAGCCAGGGGAGCGAACGGG
Molecule: ribosomal RNA, 254 nt
Filed under: uncultured bacterium
Lineage: Bacteria
Description: partial 16S ribosomal RNA
Rfam family: Bacterial small subunit ribosomal RNA
Source: RNAcentral